RNAcentral lists this long non-coding RNA (824 nucleotides) under Danio rerio (zebrafish). Its description in RNAcentral is "si:dkey-23p11.4 (ENSDARG00000097381.3)". Lineage: Eukaryota; Metazoa; Chordata; Actinopteri; Cypriniformes; Danionidae. The record is from RNAcentral.
AUACCCAGCCGGCACACGACCGACCUUCAACGUUGAAAUAUGGUUGAAAUAAGGUCAGAUGUGUUUUGAACGUUGAAAUAAUGUUGAUAGAACGUUUAAUGUUGAACGGUUGAAAAACAGCCUGCAAAUGACAAGGCUUCAACGUUGAAAUGUGGUUGAAAAUAAGUCAGUUGUUGCUUUAAUGUUGAAACAAUGUUGAAUGAUAAAUGGUUGAAAAAAGUUACAGAAAUCCUUGUACAAAUCAACGUUGACAUUUUUUUUAUCAUGGUCUGUAUGUUGAAUUAACGUCAUGGUUUCACCCAAUAUUCAACAUGUUUGGUUACCAUGGUAUCGGAGGACUCGGCGCACGCGGCCACGCGCAGCGCUUCACUUGGGCUUCACUUAAUUACGAACACCUGACCUGCAGUGCAGCAGAAUUCAGAGGUAAGCAGAUGUAACUUACUCCAGAGACGCACUAACUUGCACAGCAUUGAAUGGAAAAGGCUUUGUCCAUGUCCAGUUGAGGGGCAUCAAGAACACGCAGAUGGCCUAAACCUGUGUCAGCCUGGACAGACUGCAGUUCUGCUACUCCAUGCCAAGGCUUUUGUAUGGAUGUCUUGACUGCUACUGUGUUCUCUAAAGGUUUUCUGGAAGCUCCAUUUGAGGGCAUCAAGGACAUACUGAUGGCCUAAACCAGUGUCAGCCUAGACAGACAGACAUCUAUUGCAGUUCUGCUACACAAGACCAAACUCUCUGCUUUUGUAUGGAUGUCUGACUAGUACGGUGUUCUCUAAAGGUAUAACUGGAGCAAAACAACAGCAUCCGUUACAGUGAAAUUUGUGUUC